Long non-coding RNA from Hyla sarda, 897 nucleotides. RefSeq lists it as uncharacterized. The transcript is spliced from 3 exons. The record is from RefSeq and is a predicted model, not a curated record. NCBI's taxonomy places the organism in Eukaryota, Metazoa, Chordata, Amphibia, Anura, Hylidae.
AGAAGCAAGGAGGAUGUUGCUUUAAUAUGAAUUCAACACAGUGUACAUAGAGCAGGGAGGGUAGGAGAAAGAUAUCGGAGCUCCACGGAGUUCAUGGGUGACCGUCAUGUUUCACAGCAGAUCUGCUUGGUGACGUCCACAAACACCCACAAACAUUGCAUAUGGCUCCGGAUAAAUAACCUGUGACAGCGAAUCAGCUGAUGCAUCUAUAGGUUGCAUGGCAACAUGAUGCUCUCCAUCCUUGACUAAGCUAUAAGUCUUGAGAUGUCAAAUGCUGUUUGGCCAGGAGCUGACGGGUUAUUGCCAUUGAUGCAACCUUUCAAAAAAGAGGGCAGAGGGGGGAAAUAGCAGAAGAUAAGGAACAAGAAAGAGGGAUGGAGGGAGUUCCUAACACUUAUUUCUUCACUGCCAACAUGGAAAUUUCUUUCUUGUUGCAGUUGCCGGCAAAAUGUAUAUCUUUCACAUCAAAAGUUGCCUUUAGAACAAGAAUUGUCCAUCCAUCAUGCUGCUUCACAGAAAGAGGAUCACAAACGGGACCAGAGCAGGACACCGGAGGCAUUGCUGGUGGAUUUAAGGGAUCUUGGCAAAAAAAGAUGGAAAUACAAUAUCCUGGGAUAUGUGAAACUCAAAACCGACCUUGGUAGAAGGAAUGGGUCCAGCCUGAAAGUAAUCUCCCAGGAUCCCAAGUCACGUGGUCAUCUGGACAGUGGUCAUGUUACCUGACCCAGCACAUCACAAAAGUCACUGUUAAGAGAUUUACCUGCUUAAACCAGAGGCUCUCGGCAAUAGAGGAAAGUGUUAAAAACACUAUGUAUAAAAAUCUCAAUGUUCUGCACAUAUCUUUUAUGACCUUCUGGGUGGUGAUAAAAACAUGUAUAUUAACUCCAAAGCUGCGGC